Molecule: unclassified non-coding RNA, 424 nt
Filed under: uncultured fungus
Lineage: Eukaryota; Fungi
Description: partial contains ITS1, 5.8S rRNA and ITS2
Source: RNAcentral
AACGCAAAUUGCGCUUCUGGGUAGCCCUAGGAGCACGCCUCUCUCAGUAUCGGUUCCUUCUCAGACUAGCAGCGUCGCUUGCUUCUACAAGCCAGCGAGGUGUUCUAGUGACUGGAUGGUGAGAGCUUCGAACUGACCUUUUCCCUUCGGGGUGGGUGGGUUCGUCUCUUGAAAAGAUAUGAAAGAUUGCUUGGCAGACUGCCCUCUAUCAAGUGAUGAGACUAACUAACCGUUCAGUGUACAUCAUGUUUUCGAUAGCAGUGUGUUUUCUGUCGUGUCGUCAAUUCUUUCGAGUGUGACUUUGUUCUCCCUGGCGAAUGACAAAAGCUUUGUGAGGACGGUCCAACCCCUUUCUAAGUGGGUUGAACACUAACCAAAAAAUCAACUUGAUCUGAGAUGAGGUGAGAUUACCCCCUGAAUUUAA